RNAcentral lists this ribosomal RNA (164 nucleotides) under Caltha leptosepala. RNAcentral describes it as "5.8S ribosomal RNA". It matches the Rfam family "5.8S ribosomal RNA". Rfam says of the family: 5.8S ribosomal RNA (5.8S rRNA) is a component of the large subunit of the eukaryotic ribosome. It is transcribed by RNA polymerase I as part of the 45S precursor that also contains 18S and 28S rRNA. The record is from RNAcentral. RNAcentral also lists the same sequence under 1 other name. Lineage: Eukaryota; Viridiplantae; Streptophyta; Magnoliopsida; Ranunculales; Ranunculaceae.
UGAAUGACUCUCGGCAACGGAUAUCUCGGCUCUUGCAUCGAUGAAGAACGUAGCGAAAUGCGAUACUUGGUGUGAAUUGCAGAAUCCCGUGAACCAUCGAGUCUUUGAACGCAAGUUGCGCCCGAGGCCACUAGGUUGAGGGCACGUCUGCCUGGGCGUCACAC